RNAcentral lists this long non-coding RNA (1180 nucleotides) under Homo sapiens (human). RNAcentral describes it as "LNC_000769". Lineage: Eukaryota; Metazoa; Chordata; Mammalia; Primates; Hominidae. The record is from RNAcentral.
GCUUGAAAGGCAUUAGAUCUCACAUUAUUUACAUUCUCACUCCUUUUAGCUCCUUUGCUUUUUUGUUCUCUUGUUUGCAAAGAUUAAAAAUAAUGUUCCUGGCAUUUUAAUGGAACAUUACCAAAUGUACAUUCAUGUGUAUUGAUCAAAGACCAACUUUCAUUAGUGAAAAAAUCUAAUUUUUUCUAGACCAAUUAAAAGGAUAAAAUUCUCUUAUUUGAAUAAUAAGAGAAUUAAAGAGUUUAUUAAGCAAAAACAGUUGCUGAAAAAGCGUAGCAAAGACUGACUAGACUGGCUAGAAUUUCCUCUUCUUCCAGGACAGAUGGUUCUACGACAUUUUAAGCCUUCUUUGUAAUGGCCGAGUGACUGGGUUCUAGCUAGUGGAAUGUGAGUGGAAGCCUUUUACCUCAGAAAAGACACACAAUUCUGCAUGCCCUUUCCCCUUCUGUGGCAUGGUGCAAACAUGCAUGGUGACUUUGGAAGCCACAUUUUGACGAUGGUGGAGCCGCAAGAUGAAAAGAGCCUAGGUUCCUGAAUCACCAGGUGGAGGAAUAUUGCCAAUCCAUCAGUAAUGUAUUUUGUACUUUAUCAGAGCAAUAAAUAAAAUUCUCUACUUUUAGAGCCAUUAUACAUUUUUUUUUUUUAUUUUCAUUGCAGUUGUCGCCUGAACCUAUAUAGAAAUUGGUACCUUGAAAAGUGGAGGUUUCUGAACAAAAAAACCUUUAAGUUUUGCAGACUGUUCAAGAAGAAUGGUGCCAGCAUCUGCAUCAGGUGAUGGCUUCAAGUUAAAGAAAGAAGGUUCAUGGAAGAAGGUGAAGGGGAGCCAAGCUGGCUGUGUACAGAUAGCACAUAACCAGAAAGGAAGCAAGAGGUGAGUGGGGAGGUGCCAGGUUCUUUUUAACAACCAACUCGUAAUAGAGCCAGAUCUCACUCAGUGCCCCCGUACUGCACCCUAGGGAGCACAUUAAUCCAUUCAUGAGGGAUCUGUCUCCAUGACCCAGACACCUCCCAUUAGGCCCCACCUCCAACUUGAGAUUUGGAUCAGAUUUCAACAUGAGAUUUGGAGGGGUGAAAUAUCCAAACCAUACCAAUCACUUAAUACAAGUAUAAUAAGAUAUAAAGAAUCUUUUUAAUAAAAAAGAUAUGAAAGAGAUUUAAGAGAGUCAAGAGAAAGUGAGAG